GAUGAAAGAACGCAGCGAAAUGCGAUACUUGGUGUGAAUUGCAGAAUCCCGUGAACCAUCGAGUCUUUGAACGCAAGUUGCGCCCGAAGCCAUCAGGUUGAGGGCACGUCUGCCUGGGCGUCACAUAUCGUUGCCCAAUGCCUAUUGCAGUGCAAUAGGAAUUUCUAGGGCGAAUGAUGGCUUCCCGUGAGCGUUGUUGCCUCGCGGUUGGUUGAAAAUCGAGUCCUUGGUAGGGUGUGCCAUGGUAGAUGGUGGUCGAGUUAGAACGAUACCGAUCAUGUGCAUGCUCCCCAAAAUAUGGCCUCUAUGACCCACACGCGUCUUUUGACGCUCAUGACGAGACCUCAGGUCAGGCGGGGCUACCCGCUGAAUUUAAGCAUAUCAAUAAGCGGAGGA
This 396-nucleotide unclassified non-coding RNA is filed under the name soil metagenome. RNAcentral's name for it is "partial contains 5.8S ribosomal RNA, internal transcribed spacer 2, and large subunit ribosomal RNA". The stretch from base 6 to 123 matches the Rfam family "5.8S ribosomal RNA", at positions 39 to 154 of the family's 154-position model. The record is from RNAcentral.